This 69-nucleotide transfer RNA is filed under the name Sminthopsis psammophila (sandhill dunnart). RNAcentral's name for it is "tRNA-His". It matches the Rfam family "tRNA". From Rfam's summary of the family: Transfer RNA (tRNA) molecules are approximately 80 nucleotides in length. Their secondary structure includes four short double-helical elements and three loops (D, anti-codon, and T loops). Further hydrogen bonds mediate the characteristic L-shaped molecular structure. tRNAs have two regions of fundamental functional importance: the anti-codon, which is responsible for specific mRNA codon recognition, and the 3' end, to which the tRNAs corresponding amino acid is attached (by aminoacyl-tRNA synthetases). tRNAs cope with the degeneracy of the genetic code in two manners: having more than one tRNA (with a specific anti-codon) for a particular amino acid; and 'wobble' base-pairing, i.e. permitting non-standard base-pairing at the 3rd anti-codon position. Lineage: Eukaryota; Metazoa; Chordata; Mammalia; Dasyuromorphia; Dasyuridae. The record is from RNAcentral.
GCAGACAUAGUUUAACAAAAACAUUAGAUUGUGAAUCUAACGAUAGGAGUUUAAGCCUCCUUGUAUGCC